ACGGGUGAGUAAUGCCUAGGAAUCUGCCUGGUAGUGGGGGAUAACGCUCGGAAACGGACGCUAAUACCGCAUACGUCCUACGGGAGAAAGCAGGGGACCUUCGGGCCUUGCGCUAUCAGAUGAGCCUAGGUCGGAUUAGCUAGUUGGUGAGGUAAUGGCUCACCAAGGCGACGAUCCGUAACUGGUCUGAGAGGAUGAUCAGUCACACUGGAACUGAGACACGGUCCAGACUCCUACGGGAGGCAGCAGUGGGGAAUAUUGGACAAUGGGCGAAAGCCUGAUCCAGCCAUGCCGCGUGUGUGAAGAAGGUCUUCGGAUUGUAAAGCACUUUAAGUUGGGAGGAAGGGCCAUUACCUAAUACGUGAUGGUUUUGACGUUACCGACAGAAUAAGCACCGGCUAACUCUGUGCCAGCAGCCGCGGUAAUACAGAGGGUGCAAGCGUUAAUCGGAAUUACUGGGCGUAAAGCGCGCGUAGGUGGUUCGUUAAGUUGGAUGUGAAAGCCCCGGGCUCAACCUGGGAACUGCAUUCAAAACUGUCGAGCUAGAGUAUGGUAGAGGGUGGUGGAAUUUCCUGUGUAGCG
This 582-nucleotide ribosomal RNA is filed under the name Pseudomonas sp. HRTK142. Its description in RNAcentral is "bacterial SSU rRNA". It matches the Rfam family "Bacterial small subunit ribosomal RNA", at positions 102 to 680 of the family's 1533-position model. The record is from RNAcentral. Lineage: Bacteria; Pseudomonadati; Pseudomonadota; Gammaproteobacteria; Pseudomonadales; Pseudomonadaceae.